UAAUGCCCUGUUAAACCCCACA
This 22-nucleotide microRNA is filed under the name Xenoturbella bocki. Its description in RNAcentral is "Xbo-Mir-193-P2_3p (mature (guide))". The record is from RNAcentral. Lineage: Eukaryota; Metazoa; Xenacoelomorpha; Xenoturbellidae.